This 1518-nucleotide ribosomal RNA is filed under the name Escherichia coli 2-222-05_S1_C2. Its description in RNAcentral is "bacterial SSU rRNA". It matches the Rfam family "Bacterial small subunit ribosomal RNA". The record is from RNAcentral. Lineage: Bacteria; Pseudomonadati; Pseudomonadota; Gammaproteobacteria; Enterobacterales; Enterobacteriaceae.
GAGUUUGAUCAUGGCUCAGAUUGAACGCUGGCGGCAGGCCUAACACAUGCAAGUCGAACGGUAACAGAAAGAAGCUUGCUUCUUUGCUGACGAGUGGCGGACGGGUGAGUAAUGUCUGGGAAACUGCCUGAUGGAGGGGGAUAACUACUGGAAACGGUAGCUAAUACCGCAUAACGUCGCAAGACCAAAGAGGGGGACCUUCGGGCCUCUUGCCAUCGGAUGUGCCCAGAUGGGAUUAGCUUGUUGGUGGGGUAACGGCUCACCAAGGCGACGAUCCCUAGCUGGUCUGAGAGGAUGACCAGCCACACUGGAACUGAGACACGGUCCAGACUCCUACGGGAGGCAGCAGUGGGGAAUAUUGCACAAUGGGCGCAAGCCUGAUGCAGCCAUGCCGCGUGUAUGAAGAAGGCCUUCGGGUUGUAAAGUACUUUCAGCGGGGAGGAAGGGAGUAAAGUUAAUACCUUUGCUCAUUGACGUUACCCGCAGAAGAAGCACCGGCUAACUCCGUGCCAGCAGCCGCGGUAAUACGGAGGGUGCAAGCGUUAAUCGGAAUUACUGGGCGUAAAGCGCACGCAGGCGGUUUGUUAAGUCAGAUGUGAAAUCCCCGGGCUCAACCUGGGAACUGCAUCUGAUACUGGCAAGCUUGAGUCUCGUAGAGGGGGGUAGAAUUCCAGGUGUAGCGGUGAAAUGCGUAGAGAUCUGGAGGAAUACCGGUGGCGAAGGCGGCCCCCUGGACGAAGACUGACGCUCAGGUGCGAAAGCGUGGGGAGCAAACAGGAUUAGAUACCCUGGUAGUCCACGCCGUAAACGAUGUCGACUUGGAGGUUGUGCCCUUGAGGCGUGGCUUCCGGAGCUAACGCGUUAAGUCGACCGCCUGGGGAGUACGGCCGCAAGGUUAAAACUCAAAUGAAUUGACGGGGGCCCGCACAAGCGGUGGAGCAUGUGGUUUAAUUCGAUGCAACGCGAAGAACCUUACCUGGUCUUGACAUCCACGGAAGUUUUCAGAGAUGAGAAUGUGCCUUCGGGAACCGUGAGACAGGUGCUGCAUGGCUGUCGUCAGCUCGUGUUGUGAAAUGUUGGGUUAAGUCCCGCAACGAGCGCAACCCUUAUCCUUUGUUGCCAGCGGUCCGGCCGGGAACUCAAAGGAGACUGCCAGUGAUAAACUGGAGGAAGGUGGGGAUGACGUCAAGUCAUCAUGGCCCUUACGACCAGGGCUACACACGUGCUACAAUGGCGCAUACAAAGAGAAGCGACCUCGCGAGAGCAAGCGGACCUCAUAAAGUGCGUCGUAGUCCGGAUUGGAGUCUGCAACUCGACUCCAUGAAGUCGGAAUCGCUAGUAAUCGUGGAUCAGAAUGCCACGGUGAAUACGUUCCCGGGCCUUGUACACACCGCCCGUCACACCAUGGGAGUGGGUUGCAAAAGAAGUAGGUAGCUUAACCUUCGGGAGGGCGCUUACCACUUUGUGAUUCAUGACUGGGGUGAAGUCGUAACAAGGUAACCGUAGGGGAACCUGCGG